RNAcentral lists this ribosomal RNA (856 nucleotides) under Corynebacterium sp. RNAcentral's name for it is "bacterial SSU rRNA". It matches the Rfam family "Bacterial small subunit ribosomal RNA", at positions 59 to 918 of the family's 1533-position model. Lineage: Bacteria; Bacillati; Actinomycetota; Actinomycetes; Mycobacteriales; Corynebacteriaceae. The record is from RNAcentral.
CAGUCGAACGGAAGGCCUCUAGCUUGCUGGGGGUACUCGAGUGGCGAACGGGUGAGUAACACGUGGGUGAUCUGCCCUGCACUUCGGGAUAAGCUUGGGAAACUGGGUCUAAUACCGGAUAUGAACGGUCUUUGGUGUGAUUGUUGGAAAGAUUUUUUCGGUGUGGGAUGAGCUCGCGGCCUAUCAGCUUGUUGGUGGGGUAAUGGCCUACCAAGGCGUCGACGGGUAGCCGGCCUGAGAGGGUGUACGGCCACAUUGGGACUGAGAUACGGCCCAGACUCCUACGGGAGGCAGCAGUGGGGAAUAUUGCACAAUGGGCGCAAGCCUGAUGCAGCGACGCCGCGUGGGGGAUGAAGGCCUUCGGGUUGUAAACUCCUUUCGCUAGGGACGAAGCCUUUUUUAAGGUGACGGUACCUGGAUAAGAAGCACCGGCUAACUACGUGCCAGCAGCCGCGGUAAUACGUAGGGUGCAAGCGUUGUCCGGAAUUACUGGGCGUAAAGAGCUCGUAGGUGGUUUGUCGCGUCGUCUGUGAAAUUCCGGGGCUUAACUCCGGGCGUGCAGGCGAUACGGGCAUAACUUGAGUGCUGUAGGGGAGACUGGAAUUCCUGGUGUAGCGGUGAAAUGCGCAGAUAUCAGGAGGAACACCGAUGGCGAAGGCAGGUCUCUGGGCAGUAACUGACGCUGAGGAGCGAAAGCAUGGGUAGCGAACAGGAUUAGAUACCCUGGUAGUCCAUGCCGUAAACGGUGGGCGCUAGGUGUAGGGGGCUUCCACGUCUUCUGUGCCGUAGCUAACGCAUUAAGCGCCCCGCCUGGGGAGUACGGCCGCAAGGCUAAAACUCAAAGGAAUUGACGGGG